Molecule: non-coding RNA, 508 nt
Organism: Oryza sativa Japonica Group (Japanese rice)
Lineage: Eukaryota; Viridiplantae; Streptophyta; Magnoliopsida; Poales; Poaceae
Source: RefSeq, a predicted model, not a curated record
AACAAUCAAUUGCGUGAUGAGCUGCGGUUUCAACGUGAAGAGCUAAAUUCUCAGAAGAAAACUGUUGAGGAACAAAGUGUUGAUAUGGAAUGUUUGAUGGACCAGAAGCUGGAGGAAACAAUGAAUAGAAUGCUGGCUCACAUGGGCGCUGCUGGUGCUGCUUCUUCCAUUCCUUCAUCCUUUACAAGUACAACAACCAACUAGGAUGUGGGAAAUCGACAACAUAUCACUUUCAUCUAGGCGAGCAUCCGAUGAGUCAGCAUCGAUAUUAUCUUCAAUUCUUCAUUUAGAUGUCAUUUUGAUUUAUAUAUUUAGAUCAAAGUGCUCUUUCUGUUUGAGCACAUUUUUCUUUCUACAAUAAAGGGUAUUUUUUUCAGAGUUAUAAAGGGUAGUUGGAGUACUGCUAGUGCUCAUUUAUGUGUACUGCAUUUUGCUCUACACUUUUCUUAUAGCAUUGUAAUCUUUCAUCAAUAAAGGAUGCUCUGAAAUCGAUAUUUCAUAUGUUCUA